AAACAACUCUCAGCAACGGAUAUCUUGGCUCUUGCAACGAUGAAGAACGCAGCGAAAUGCGAUACGUAGUGUGAAUUGCAGAAUUCCGCGAAUNAUCGAGUCUUUGAACGCAAGUUGCGCCCGAGGCUUGUCCGAGGGCAUUUCCGCUAGAGCGUCACCG
Molecule: ribosomal RNA, 160 nt
Filed under: Oxyrrhynchium vagans
Lineage: Eukaryota; Viridiplantae; Streptophyta; Bryopsida; Hypnales; Brachytheciaceae
Description: 5.8S ribosomal RNA
Rfam family: 5.8S ribosomal RNA
About the family: 5.8S ribosomal RNA (5.8S rRNA) is a component of the large subunit of the eukaryotic ribosome. It is transcribed by RNA polymerase I as part of the 45S precursor that also contains 18S and 28S rRNA.
Source: RNAcentral